RNAcentral lists this ribosomal RNA (1407 nucleotides) under uncultured bacterium. Its description in RNAcentral is "16S ribosomal RNA". It matches the Rfam family "Bacterial small subunit ribosomal RNA". The record is from RNAcentral.
GAACGCUAGCGGCAGGCUUAACACAUGCAAGUCGAGGGGCAGCGGGGAGGAAGCUUGCUUUCUCCGCCGGCGACCGGCGCACGGGUGAGUAACACGUAUGCAACCUGCCCCUGUCAGGGGGACAACCCGCCGAAAGGCGGGCUAAACCCGCGUACAUGCCACCGGGGCAUCCCGGAGGCAGGAAAGGCUUCGGCCGGACAGGGAUGGGCAUGCGGCGCAUUAGGCAGUAGGCGGGGUAACGGCCCACCUAACCGACGAUGCGUAGGGGUUCUGAGAGGAAGGUCCCCCACACUGGUACUGAGACACGGACCAGACUCCUACGGGAGGCAGCAGUGAGGAAUAUUGGUCAAUGGUCGGGAGACUGAACCAGCCAAGCCGCGUGAGGGAGGAAGGUACAGAGUAUCGUAAACCUCUUUUGUCAGGGAACAAAGACUGGGACGCGUCCCCGGAUGAGUGUACCUGAAGAAAAAGCAUCGGCUAACUCCGUGCCAGCAGCCGCGGUAAUACGGAGGAUGCGAGCGUUAUCCGGAUUUAUUGGGUUUAAAGGGUGCGCAGGCGGUCUGUUAAGUCAGCGGUCAAAGCCCGGGGCUCAACCCCGGCCCGCCGUUGAAACUGGCAGUCUCGAGUUGGAGAGAAGUAUGCGGAAUGCGCGGUGUAGCGGUGAAAUGCAUAGAUAUCGCGCAGAACUCCGAUUGCGAAGGCAGCAUGCCGGCUCCACACUGACGCUGAGGCACGAAAGCGUGGGUAUCGAACAGGAUUAGAUACCCUGGUAGUCCACGCAGUAAACGAUGAAUGCUGGCUGUCCGGGGGGACUGACCCCUGGGUGGCGAAGCGAAAGCGAUAAGCAUUCCACCUGGGGAGUACGCCGGCAACGGUGAAACUCAAAGGAAUUGACGGGGGCCCGCACAAGCGGAGGAACAUGUGGUUUAAUUCGAUGAUACGCGAGGAACCUUACCCGGGCUCAAACGGGGAGUGGCGCAGGCAGAGACGCCUGUUUCCCACGGGACACUCCCCGAGGUGCUGCAUGGUUGUCGUCAGCUCGUGCCGUGAGGUGUCGGCUUAAGUGCCAUAACGAGCGCAACCCCCGCGUGCAGUUGCUAACAGUCAACGCUGAGGACUCUGCACGGACUGCCGGCGCAAGCCGCGAGGAAGGCGGGGAUGACGUCAAAUCAGCACGGCCCUUACGUCCGGGGCGACACACGUGUUACAAUGGGUGGUACAGCGGGAAGCCAGGCGGCGACGCCGAGCGGAACCCGAAAUCCACUCUCAGUUCGGAUCGGAGUCUGCAACCCGACUCCGUGAAGCUGGAUUCGCUAGUAAUCGCGCAUCAGCCAUGGCGCGGUGAAUACGUUCCCGGGCCUUGUACACACCGCCCGUCAAGCCAUGGGAGCCGAGGGCGCUUGAAGU